UACGCACUCUGCUGGCAGCGCU
This 22-nucleotide microRNA is filed under the name Drosophila melanogaster (fruit fly). RNAcentral's name for it is "dme-miR-4957-5p". The record is from miRBase by way of RNAcentral. Lineage: Eukaryota; Metazoa; Arthropoda; Insecta; Diptera; Drosophilidae.